RNAcentral lists this ribosomal RNA (433 nucleotides) under uncultured bacterium. Its description in RNAcentral is "partial 16S ribosomal RNA". It matches the Rfam family "Bacterial small subunit ribosomal RNA", at positions 29 to 507 of the family's 1533-position model. The record is from RNAcentral.
AACGAACGCUGGCGGCAUGCCUAACACAUGCAAGUCGAACGAGACCUUCGGGUCUAGUGGCGCACGGGUGCGUAACGCGUGGGAACCUGCCCUUAGGUUCGGAAUAACUCCCCGAAAGGGGUGCUAAUACCGGAUAAUGUCUUCGGUCCAAAGAUUUAUCGCCUUUGGAUGGGCCCGCGUUGGAUUAGCUAGUUGGUAGGGUAAAAGCCUACCAAGGCGACGAUCCAUAGCUGGUCUGAGAGGAUGAUCAGCCACACUGGGACUGAGACACGGCCCAGACUCCUACGGGAAGCAGCAGUGGGGAAUAUUGGACAAUGGGCGAAAGCCUGAUCCAGCAAUGCCGCGUGAGUGAUGAAGGCCUUAGGGUUGUAAAGCUCUUUUACCCGGGAUGAUAAUGACAGUACCGGGAGAAUAAGCUCCGGCUAACUCCGUG